This is a long non-coding RNA of Panicum virgatum (switchgrass), 747 nucleotides long. RefSeq lists it as uncharacterized. The record is from RefSeq and is a predicted model, not a curated record. The transcript has 2 exons. NCBI's taxonomy places the organism in Eukaryota, Viridiplantae, Streptophyta, Magnoliopsida, Poales, Poaceae.
AAUCCCGCCCCCCUCGUCUCCACUCGUCUGUUCAGCAGGUUCGUCCCCAACCACCCAUACGCCUCCAAUCCAAUCUACCACGCCGCCGCCGCACCCCCCCCCCCCCCCCGCCGGACGCCGCCGCGGACGCCCAUCCUCCUACCAAGCCGACGCCGACGCCCACCCCUCCUCUUCCACCACGCCCCCUAGCAACACAUCCACGGGCGGAUCCUCCCAGGCCACCCCGCAGCUUGCCCCAUUGCCACCGCCGUUGAUGCGCUUCCGAGCGGCGCGCACCAACCCAUCCCCCGCUCGACGCACUCCCUCCUACGGCCAGAUGCAUUUUGACUGAUUCCGCAGAACACGCCGCGCGACCCCGCGUGCCGUCGCCGCCGCCAUGUCAGAUGCGGCGGGCGCAUCAUUUGCCGCCGGGGAGAUUUUACCGGCUCAAUCGCUGGAGGCAACUUUACAGUCGAGGUCCUGAUUUCUUCGGCAGGGAGGCGACGAGGCGGAUGAUGACGAUGAGGUCACCAGCACCAUGAAUUGAGAGGCGAGGAGGCUGAUGAUGACGGCGAGGUCAACAACAAUAUGAAUCGAGCUCGUGCAACAUUAACAGUUGGGAUAACACUCAAGCUUUAGGCUUCCUGUGGAUCGCACAAAAGGCGAUCGUCUGAUUGUACUGCACGCAAUUCACGUGCAUACCAUUCUACCAUUUUACUGGAAUAAAAGGGGAACCUCGACGAGAACUCAUCGAGGUUUCGACCAAAA